GCGGAAUUAGCUCAGCUGGCAGAGCACCUGGUUGUGGCCCAGGGGGUCGUGAGUUCAAUCCUCGCAUUUCGCCCCA
This 76-nucleotide transfer RNA is filed under the name Mailhella sp. RNAcentral's name for it is "tRNA-His". It matches the Rfam family "tRNA". Rfam says of the family: Transfer RNA (tRNA) molecules are approximately 80 nucleotides in length. Their secondary structure includes four short double-helical elements and three loops (D, anti-codon, and T loops). The record is from RNAcentral. Lineage: Bacteria; Pseudomonadati; Thermodesulfobacteriota; Desulfovibrionia; Desulfovibrionales; Desulfovibrionaceae.